Molecule: ribosomal RNA, 253 nt
Filed under: uncultured bacterium
Lineage: Bacteria
Description: partial 16S ribosomal RNA
Rfam family: Bacterial small subunit ribosomal RNA
Source: RNAcentral
UACGGAGGGUGCGAGCGUUGUCCGGAAUCAUUGGGCGUAAAGGGCGCGUAGGUGGCUUCUUAAGCGUGCGGUGAAAGCCUGGGGCUCAACCCCGGGUCGGCCGUGCGAACUGGGGGGCUGGAGCACUGUAGAGGCAGGCGGAAUUCCGGGUGUAGCGGUGGAAUGCGUAGAGAUCCGGAAGAACACCGGUGGCGAAGGCGGCCUGCUGGGCAGUUGCUGACACUGAGUCGCGACAGCGUGGGGAGCAAACAGG